RNAcentral lists this ribosomal RNA (264 nucleotides) under uncultured bacterium. Its description in RNAcentral is "partial 16S ribosomal RNA". It matches the Rfam family "Bacterial small subunit ribosomal RNA", at positions 96 to 354 of the family's 1533-position model. The record is from RNAcentral.
UGGCGAACGGGCGAGUAACACGUGGGCAACCUGCCCAAAAGAGGGGGAUAACACUUGGAAACAGGUGCUAAUACCGCAUAACCAUAGUUACCGCAUGGUAACUAUGUAAAAGGUGGCUAUGCUACCGCUUUUGGAUGGGCCCGCGGCGCAUUAGCUAGUUGGUGGGGUAAAGGCUUACCAAGGCAAUGAUGCGUAGCCGAACUGAGAGGUUGAUCGGCCACAUUGGGACUGAGACACGGCCCAAACUCCUACGGAAGGCAGCAG